CUACGGGUCGCACCAGUGGGGGAUAUUGCGCAAUGGGGGAAACCCUGACGCAGCAAUGCCGCGUGAAGGAAGAAGGUCUUCGGAUUGUAAACUUUUGUCUUCAGGGACGAAACAAAUGACGGUACCUGAGGAGGAAGCCACGGCUAACUACGUGCCAGCAGCCGCGGUAAUACGUAGGUGGCAAGCGUUGUCCGGAUUUACUGGGUGUAAAGGGCGUGUAGGCGGGAUUGUAGGUCAGAUGUGAAAUACCCGGGCUUAACCCGGGGGCUGCAUUUGAAACCACAGUUCUUGAGUGCUGGGAGGGAAGCGGAAUUCCUAGUGUAGCGGUGAAAUGCGUAGAUAUUAGGAGGAACACCAGUGGCGAAGGCGGCUUUCUGGACAGUAACUGACGCUGAGGCGCGAAAGCGUGGGGAGCAAACAGGAUUAGAUACCCUAGUAGUC
This 441-nucleotide ribosomal RNA is filed under the name uncultured bacterium. RNAcentral describes it as "partial 16S ribosomal RNA". It matches the Rfam family "Bacterial small subunit ribosomal RNA", at positions 339 to 795 of the family's 1533-position model. The record is from RNAcentral.